RNAcentral lists this ribosomal RNA (540 nucleotides) under Zeugodacus decipiens. RNAcentral describes it as "partial 16S ribosomal RNA". It matches the Rfam family "Bacterial large subunit ribosomal RNA", at positions 1804 to 2612 of the family's 2925-position model. The record is from RNAcentral. Lineage: Eukaryota; Metazoa; Arthropoda; Insecta; Diptera; Tephritidae.
UUAACAAAAACAUGUCUUUUUGAGUUAUUUUUAAAGUCUGACCUGCCCACUGAAAAUUUUAAAUGGCCGCAGUAUUCUAACUGUGCAAAGGUAGCAUAAUCAUUAGUCUUUUAAUUGAAGGCUGGUAUGAACGGUUGGACGAGGUAUAAGCUGUUUCAUAUAAAUUUAUAAUAGAAUUUUAUAUUUUAGUCAAAAAGCUAAAAUGAUGUUAAAAGACGAGAAGACCCUAUAAAUCUUUAUAUUUUUUAUUUUUUAAGUUUUUUGGAUUAGGUUUAUUUUUAUAAUAGAAAAUAUUUUGUUGGGGUGAUGUUAAAAUUUAAUGAACUUUUAAUAAUUUAAAAUCAUUAAUUUAUGAGUUAUUGAUCCAUUAUUAGUGAUUAUAAGAUUAAGUUACUUUAGGGAUAACAGCGUAAUUUUUUUGGAGAGUUCUUAUCGAUAAAAAAGUUUGCGACCUCGAUGUUGGAUUAAGAUAUAAUUUUAGGUGUAGCCGCUUAAAUGUUAAGUCUGUUCGACUUUUAAAUUCUUACGUGAUCUGAGUUC